RNAcentral lists this transfer RNA (74 nucleotides) under Hyphomonas sp. RNAcentral's name for it is "tRNA-Arg". It matches the Rfam family "tRNA". Rfam says of the family: Transfer RNA (tRNA) molecules are approximately 80 nucleotides in length. Their secondary structure includes four short double-helical elements and three loops (D, anti-codon, and T loops). Lineage: Bacteria; Pseudomonadati; Pseudomonadota; Alphaproteobacteria; Hyphomonadales; Hyphomonadaceae. The record is from RNAcentral.
GCGCUCGUAGCUCAGUUGGAUAGAGCAGUGGACUUCUAAUCCACAGGUCGAAAGUUCGAGUCUUUCCGAGCGUG